UCCACACAUGUGAAGUGACAUCUGCCAGGUGGGGAUCAUUUGACCUUUGCUAUAAAGAAAGCAUGAGGAGAUAUGGGAAGAAUUGUCACUGCAGAGGAGGUUGAGAUUCAGGUUACUUAGGGUGCUGUUCUACUGUCCUGGUGAAAUGGACUCAGUGUUCUGGAGUAGGCUGCUUUUUCCUCAUGUUUUCUAUCAUCUCUGUGAACGAGCUUUGGAGACUCUAUGAGCUAGUUACGUUGGUGGUGACAUCUCAGAACAGGAAAACCCUGGUGGCACUACUUCCCCGUGAAGUGGUUUGGCAGUAACUCAAGUUCAGGAUCUGGCAGUGAACUUCCAUACGUGGAUUCACAGCUGGUCCCAUUCUCAACGGGAAUCCUUUCUCAGCAUGGUGUCGUGUCCUGAAGCCGCGGACGAAUGAUGAAAAGAAAAUAGAAAUCAUUGCACAUUGUGGCGAGUUAUGGUAGCCUUCCAAAGCUUCGUCUGUCCUUGGGAUGUUCACACAUGUACGUUCUUCUUCGUAUGUCUCUAGAAUGCGCUUAUGGUUUUGUCAGAGAUUAAAGAAAUCCUAAGUAGCGUCAUGCACAGAUGUCUUGAGAGGUAGGAGAGUUAUGUGUGGCAGGGAGAGGGCGAGAAUAUCUGGUCCCCAGAGUCUGUUCUGGUCCCCAGAGUCCCAACGGUGAAUGGUGGAAGGCAUUUUGAAAUCCUUGCAAGUCGUUCUUGUUGUCAAUUGCCACAUAAAUUAAGGCCAUGCAAGUGCCUUCUACUGUUUCCUCUUCCCUUUCAUUUGUUGUCCGCUCAAUAGCGAAUAUUACAGAUUUGGUGAAAUGCCUUAAAACAACUUUACGGUUUAAAUAACAACUUUUUUUUUCCCCCUCUUUCUAGGUCUGCCAGUAGCUGACAAAGUAGUAAGAUUUUGAGAAGUUCUGCAUAAAGAAGAGAUCUCAGAGAAGCAAAUUUAAAUAACAAUAAUGUCAAGAAGAGUCGUUCUGAUGGCUAUAUUCUUGAUCUGUCGUGACUAGACAGAUGAAAAUCUAUGACGGCAAUUUUGCCUUUUAGGUCAUUUUCUUUUUUCUUUUAUGUCUUUCUUUUAUUUAGGUUUGUUAAUCUUAUUUCAACAGGCUCUGUACUAAUUUUCCUCACAGAAUGACUAGCAGAAAUAGGACCCUUAAGUGCCUUUUGUAAUUAAUUCAUUAGGGCAACUCUAACCACUGAGCCCCUUGUCAGGUGAUUUCUAUUAGCGAUAAGGAGCAAUUGAACCUAAAACACUGAAGCCAGGUUGAUGAGCCUAUUCCACAAGGUCUCUUGGCUCCACACAUGUGAAGUGACAUCUGCCAGGUGGGGAUCAUUUGACCUUUGCUAUAAAGGAAGCAUGAGGAGAUAUGGGAAGAAUUGCCACUGCAGAGGAGGUUGAGGUUCAGGUUACUUAGGGUGCUGUUCUACUGUCCUGGUGAAAUAGACUCAGUGUUCUGGAGUAGGCUGCUUUUUCCUCAUGUUUUCUAUCAUCUCUGUGAACGAGCUUUGGAGACUCUAUGAGCUAGUUACGUUGGUGGUGACAUCUCAGAACAGGAAAACCCUGGUGGCACUACUUCCCCGUGAAGUGGUUUGGCAGUAACUCAAGUUCAGGAUCUGGCAGUGAAGUUCCAUACAUGGAUUCUCAGCUGGUCCCAUUCUCAACGGGAAUCCCUUCUUAGCAUGGUCCCGGCAUCCGAUUCCUGAAGGUGGUUACGUGAGUGUCAGAUAAAAGCUUUUCCAGGAAAGCAAGAUGGUAAAAGCUCACUGUUGGGCCCCUGAUAAGCGUGGAAGGGGGGAGGCUCUGCCUGGGGCAUGGAGCCUUUCCUAAGCCUUGGCUCACCUGCCACCCCCUGACAGAGCGGACAGCCUAGCAUUAGCAUGACCAAGGGCCACCCCACCAGGCACCCAUCCUCCUGCAGACCUUCUGGCUCCCUCAGCACCAUGCAUCCUUUUUAAACUUCAUAUAAGACACCUUUUUGUCCUGUAAAUAAAUUAAGCUUGGCUUGGUUAUUUAAUAAGCACCCCCUGUUGCAUGUGCAGCGUGCUUGAGUCAGUCCAGGGAAGGCUUGGGACAGUCCUGGUACUGGGCUCAUUAUUUUCUAUUUGCUGAUCGUAGGUUUUGUUACCCAGGAUAUCCUGGGGAUAUAGCCCACCUUGAUACAGACGCAUGGGGUUUUCUCUUCUAGGUAGUUUUUUCCCUGCUCCAGCUGUGUAGAAAGCCUUGUCAAGUGCUCCAGCUUCAUUUUAAUUUAUGUGUUUGUUUUAAAAAGCUGUGUACAGAAAUUACACUCACUACCUAGAACAGGAUAUUAAUUACCUUAUGUCGUCUUUGUUGGAUUUUAAGCCAUCACUUACAGAGCAGGCAGACAUUAGAAAAAUGUGUGUACACUAAAAUGCCAGAAGAAGCAGUGUAUGAAGGAGAAAUUUAGUUUUAUUUAUUGUUUAUGUUAGCAGGUAAUUCUUCCUGACUUUGCAAUUAACUUUCAGCGAUAAGCCAAGGAAAUCGUCUAAAAAGCUCUGCAGGGGAAUAAUGAUUAGUAAAUCCCAUCUAAGGAGAUUUUAAUAGAAAUAAUACAAAAUCAUAUUUAAAAUGAUCCCUCAAGGACAAGACAAAGCACAGGGAACACACACACCUUCCCCCCCCCGCCCCCAGAUUACUUGAUUUCAAGGAACAUCGGAUUAUGUCUUUAAAACGCCUCUUCCAUCUGUUUUCUAGUGUAUGAUGUUUCAUCUGUUGCUUUGAAAAGUACCAGGUUGCCCCAGUAAGAUUUUAAUCAGUGGAAAAAAUGUAGCUGUUUGCCUGUUGGUUCCUUUCCAAACAGGAGGACUUCCAAAUUAACUCUGGCAUCCUUCACAGUUUGAAACACCCUCAUGUGGUGUACAUGAAGUAGUGAAUAGCUUGCUAUUGUCAAACAGAUGACUCACAGAUGCCAGGGCUUGGCAAAGAGAAACAUGCAAACAAAGGCGAGAGAGAAGCAGAUACGAUAUUGAUAUGAGCUGACACCGAGAGUACAAAUGGCAGAAAAAGUGAGAGAAGUCAAGGUUAAAAAAUAUGUAUUAUUUGAUAGCUAUCUAAGUGUUUGAAGAGAUCUGAGGAAAUAUAGAAAGUGCAGUUGUAGUCACAGCGUUUUUCUGACUUGAUGUAAAAUGGGAAAUGAACACCGUUAUUUGGUCUACCGCACUUGAAGAAGUGAUAUUUUCAGUGCAGUAAUGUCUGCAGAGCUUUGAGAUUGAGUGUCUGAUGGUUUUAAAUGUUAAAUAAUUCCAUUAGAGUCAGGGUAAAAAUGGUAAUGAACAGCUUGGAAGAGUCUGAGUAUACUGACAUGAAAUGUUGAGCAAUUAGCUUCUCUCUGUGCAAGUGAAUCCUGCAGUUCUCUUCUCAUCAGUAGUAAAGUGACCUUUAAAAUAUGCAGAUGACACAGAAGCUGUUUCAAUAACUAUUUUGAUCUAUUGUCUGCUGAUAAAUUGCGUGUAAGGAUUUGGAAUUUACAUGGCACAGUAGAUUUGGGACUAAAACGGAAGAUUUUGAAAAACCUUAACUGGGAGCUUUUUAAUAGCAGCAGUGCAUCCUGUUGAAUUAUGAGACGUGUUAUUCCACGUAGGAAAGAGAAUGAGGCUAAGGUUACUGCAGCACUUGAUAUCAUCAACUUGUUAUCUGUUGCUUUAAGGCAAUUUGAAAAGUUCAUUGUUAUGCUUUUGUGUUCUGUGUACAGCAACCCAAGAGCCACAUGUUAAAAUUGCAAUAAAAGACAUUUGUGUGUUUGAAAUUAG
Non-coding RNA from Anas platyrhynchos (mallard), 3783 nucleotides. The record is from RefSeq and is a predicted model, not a curated record. Lineage: Eukaryota; Metazoa; Chordata; Aves; Anseriformes; Anatidae.